Molecule: long non-coding RNA, 261 nt
Filed under: Nicotiana benthamiana
Lineage: Eukaryota; Viridiplantae; Streptophyta; Magnoliopsida; Solanales; Solanaceae
Description: long non-coding RNA (NBEN_LNC013256)
Source: RNAcentral
GGGAAUUGGGUUUGAAGGAGAAAGUGAGAUUUUGGUGUUUGGUGGGAAGUGGGGUUGGGAAGAAAGAACAAGUUUUGAGAUGAAUGGAACUGAAGAUGGUAUUCAUCAACAUUUUCAUUGGGUGGACAUCACUGGUUAGGAGGGGGAGAAAGUGCAGAAGGAAGGUUUAUUGGUAAAGGCGAGGACACUUCAAUGAGUUCAAUCGCAUCAUAAUCCAUCUACAGAAUAUUACUUUUUCCCUUAAUAAAUAAGCGACUAGCG